This 460-nucleotide ribosomal RNA is filed under the name uncultured bacterium. Its description in RNAcentral is "partial 16S ribosomal RNA". It matches the Rfam family "Bacterial small subunit ribosomal RNA", at positions 338 to 795 of the family's 1533-position model. The record is from RNAcentral.
CCUACGGGUGGCAGCAGUGAGGAAUAUUGGUCAAUGGACGAGAGUCUGAACCAGCCAAGUAGCGUGAAGGAUGACUGCCCUAUGGGUUGGAAACUUCUUUUAUAUGGGAAUAAAACAGGGUAUGCAUACACUCAUGUAUGUCCCAUAUGAAUAAGGAUGGGCUAACACGGUGCCAGCAGCCGCGGUAAUACGGAGGAUGCGAGCGUUAUCCGGAUUUAGGGGGUUUAAAGGGAGCGUAGGUGGAUUGUUAAGUCUGUUGUGAAAGUUUGCGGCUCAACCGGAAAAUUGCAGUUGAUACUGGCAGUCUUGAGUACAGUAGAGGUGAGCGGAAUUCGUGGUGUAGCGGUGAAAUGCUUAGAUAUCACGAAGAACUCCGAUUGCGAAGGCAGCUCACUGGACUGCAACUGACACUGAUGCUCGAAAGUCUGGGUAUCAAACAGGAUUAGAUACCCUAGUAGUC